Molecule: ribosomal RNA, 455 nt
Filed under: uncultured Paracoccus sp.
Lineage: Bacteria; Pseudomonadati; Pseudomonadota; Alphaproteobacteria; Rhodobacterales; Paracoccaceae
Description: partial 16S ribosomal RNA
Source: RNAcentral
CACGGAGUUAGCCGGGGCUUCUUCUGCCGGUACCGUCAUUAUCUUCCCAGCUGAAAGAGCUUUACAACCCUAAGGCCUUCAUCACUCACGCGGCAUGGCUAGAUCAGGGUUGCCCCCAUUGUCUAAGAUUCCCCACUGCUGCCUCCCGUAGGAGUCUGGGCCGUGUCUCAGUCCCAGUGUGGCUGAUCAUCCUCUCAAACCAGCUAUGGAUCGUCGGCUUGGUAGGCCAUUACCCCACCAACUACCUAAUCCAACGCGGGCCGAUCCUUCUCCGAUAAAUCUUUCCCCCCGAAAGGGCGUAUGCGGUAUUACUCUCAGUUUCCCGAGGCUAUUCCGCAGAAAAGGGCACGUUCCCACGCGUUACUCACCCGUCCGCCGCUAGACCCGAAGGUCUCGCUCGACUUGCAUGUGUUAAGCCUGCCGCCAGCGUGUUCUGUAGCACGGAGUCAAACUAC